Caenorhabditis elegans is the source of this 21-nucleotide non-coding RNA. NCBI's taxonomy places the organism in Eukaryota, Metazoa, Nematoda, Chromadorea, Rhabditida, Rhabditidae. The record is from Ensembl.
UGGUUUAUUCAGUCGUUGUUA